GUCCACAGUUAAACUUCGAUUCCCAAUCCGCAAGACAAUUUACGCGUUGUGUAUAUGUGAGUCUUAUUCAAAUUUGGAUGGUCCAUCAAAUAGUCUGUCAAUGGCUGUCCACCAAAUAGCUUGUUCUCCAGAUAACUCGCAGCAAUGUUGUCCGUCAAAUGUGCAAGUUGUUGUAUGGUUGGCCAUGUCGCAACAAAAACAACAAAGCAAAGUUUUCUUUUUUAAAGUUCUGGUGUAGAUUAUGUAUAGUUGUAAUAUAUCCAGUUGAGACUUUCUUAUACUUAGAGAAAAUAUUGUUGUAGUAGUAGUAGUAGAGUUAGCUGAAGCAAUAUAGAGAAGGAUGAAACCACGAAGGAGAUAAACGUUGGGGAAUCAGUGCUUGACAUGGACCCUAAAUCCACUGUUGGUGACAGUGUCGAAGAUGUUUACCCCGAGGAUUUUGGCACUGAAGACCACCUCGUCACCCUUUGGACUUACUCUGUAGCCAGAAAAGAAAUAAAAGACUAUUUUACUAGCUUUUAAUUGACAAUGUUGAGGAGCUUAUCCCAGUUGUUUACACUCCAACUGUGGGUGAAGCUUGCCAGAAGUAUGGAAGCAUCUUCAGGCGUCCUCAAGGGAAAAGUUCUUGAUGUCUUGAAGAACUGGCCUGAAAGGAGUAUUCAAGUUAUUGUUGUGAUUGCUGGUGAGCGUAUUUUGGGGCUUGCGGAUCUUGGUUGUUAGUGACCAUUGAUGUGGGGACAAAUAAUGAGGUAUUGAAGGUUGAGUUCUACAUUGGGCUUAGACAAAGAAGGGCAAUUGGGAAUAUGCCAACUUGCUACACGAGUUCAUGACCGCUGUCAAGAAGAACUAUGGUGAAAAAGUUCUUAUAUAGGUCUUCAUGCUGAGAGUUCAUUAUUUUAUUCGAUUCACAUUUAAUUUGCAUUUUCCACCCAUCUCUAAUUAGGGAUACAUCCAUGAUUUUAUUUCAAGAGGGGCGAAAUUUUUAAAUUCAAAA
Molecule: long non-coding RNA, 994 nt
Organism: Gossypium arboreum
Lineage: Eukaryota; Viridiplantae; Streptophyta; Magnoliopsida; Malvales; Malvaceae
Exons: 5
Source: RefSeq, a predicted model, not a curated record